RNAcentral lists this ribosomal RNA (468 nucleotides) under uncultured bacterium. RNAcentral's name for it is "partial 16S ribosomal RNA". It matches the Rfam family "Bacterial small subunit ribosomal RNA", at positions 28 to 507 of the family's 1533-position model. The record is from RNAcentral.
GACGAACGCUGGCGGCGUGCUUAACACAUGCAAGUCGAACGGAAAGGCCCUGCUUUUGUGGGGUGCUCGAGUGGCGAACGGGUGAGUAACACGUGAGUAACCUGCCCUUGACUUUGGGAUAACUUCAGGAAACUGGGGCUAAUACCGGAUAGGAGCUCCUGCGGCAUGGUGGGGGUUGGAAAGUUUCGGCGGUUGGGGAUGGACUCGCGGCUUAUCAGCUUGUUGGUGGGGUAGUGGCUUACCAAGGCUUUGACGGGUAGCCGGCCUGAGAGGGUGACCGGCCACAUUGGGACUGAGAUACGGCCCAGACUCCUACGGGAGGCAGCAGUGGGGAAUAUUGCACAAUGGGCGGAAGCCUGAUGCAGCAACGCCGCGUGCGGGAUGACGGCCUUCGGGUUGUAAACCGCUUUCGCCUGUGACGAAGCGUGAGUGACGGUAAUGGGUAAAGAAGCACCGGCUAGCUACGUG